GCCGGGAUGGCGGAAUGGUAGACGCUGCAGACUUAAAAUCUGUUGCCUGCAAGGGCGUGCGGGUUCGAGUCCCGCUCUCGGCACCA
This 86-nucleotide transfer RNA is filed under the name Truepera sp. RNAcentral describes it as "tRNA-Leu". It matches the Rfam family "tRNA". From Rfam's summary of the family: Transfer RNA (tRNA) molecules are approximately 80 nucleotides in length. The record is from RNAcentral. Lineage: Bacteria; Thermotogati; Deinococcota; Deinococci; Trueperales; Trueperaceae.